RNAcentral lists this transfer RNA (64 nucleotides) under Creophilus maxillosus. RNAcentral's name for it is "tRNA-Glu". The record is from RNAcentral. Lineage: Eukaryota; Metazoa; Arthropoda; Insecta; Coleoptera; Staphylinidae.
AUUUAUAUAGUUUAUGUAAAACAUUACAUUUUCAUUGUAAAGAAAAAAUUAUUUUUUAUAAAUA